RNAcentral lists this ribosomal RNA (574 nucleotides) under Candida albicans. RNAcentral's name for it is "partial large subunit ribosomal RNA". It matches the Rfam family "Eukaryotic large subunit ribosomal RNA", at positions 64 to 632 of the family's 3401-position model. The record is from RNAcentral. Lineage: Eukaryota; Fungi; Ascomycota; Pichiomycetes; Serinales; Debaryomycetaceae.
AUAUGCAGGGCAUGCUCAGUAGCGGCGAGUGAAGCGGCAAAAGCUCAAUUUGAAAUCUGGUACUCUUCGGUGCCCGAGUUGUAAUUUGAAGAGGGCAUACUUUGGGCCCGGCUCUUGUCUAUGUUCCUUGGAACAGGACGUCACAGAGGGUGAGAAUCCCGUGCGAUGAGAUGACCCGGGCCUGUGUAAGUGUCCUUCAACAAUCCAGUUGGUUGGGAAUGGCACUUUUAAUUGGUGGGAAAUUCCCUCCUAAGCUUAAUUUUGGCCAAGGAACCAAUGCCAAACAAUUCCGUGGUUGAAAAAAUAAAAGAAAUUUUGAAAAAAGAUGGAAAAAUUCCUUGAAAUGGUUAAAGGGAAAGGGAUUGGAAUCAAACUGGUGAUUUGGGCCGCCGGUUCCUUGUGGGCGGCCGCUGCUCUCUAUUGGGUGGGCCUCGGUCUGUUUCGGUGGGAUGAUGAAUCCGGAAUGUGUACGUCGUCUGCUGUGUGUUAUAGCCUCGUGACGAUUCUGCCGGCUAGAACUGAGAACGGCGAUUAAGUCUAGGAUGCUGGCAUAAUGAUUUAUGUCGCCGUCUGA